CAUGCAAGUCGAGCGAGAAGCUAACUUCGGUUGGUGGACAGCGGCGCACGGGUGAGUAACGCGUGGGAAUUUACCUUUCGGCGGGGGACAACAGUUGGAAACGACUGCUAAUACCGCAUACGCCCUACGGGGGAAAGAUUUAUCACCGAAAGAUAGGCCCGCGUUAGAUUAGGUAGUUGGUAGGGUCAAAGCCUACCAAGCCGACGAUCUAUAGCUGGUUUGAGAGAACGAUCAGCCACACUGGAACUGAGACACGGUCCAGACUCCUACGGGAGGCAGCAGUGGGGAAUCUUGCACAAUGGGCGAAAGCCUGAUGCAGCCAUGCCGCGUGAGUGAGAAGGCCUUCGGGUUGUAAAACUCUUUUAGAUGUGAAGAUGAUGACGGUAACAUCAGAAAAAGCACCGGCUAACUUCGUGCCAGCAGCCGCGGUAAUACGAAGGGUGCUAGCGUUGUUCGGAAUUACUGGGCGUAAAGAGCGUGUAGGCGGGUUAGCAAGCUAGAGGUGAAAUCCCAGGGCUCAACCCUGGAACUGCCUUUGAUACUGCUAAGCUUGAGAUCGUGAGGGGAUAGCGGAAUACCCAGUGUAGAGGUGAAAUUCGU
RNAcentral lists this ribosomal RNA (600 nucleotides) under uncultured Alphaproteobacteria bacterium. RNAcentral's name for it is "bacterial SSU rRNA". It matches the Rfam family "Bacterial small subunit ribosomal RNA", at positions 54 to 691 of the family's 1533-position model. Lineage: Bacteria; Pseudomonadati; Pseudomonadota; Alphaproteobacteria. The record is from RNAcentral.